Molecule: unclassified non-coding RNA, 239 nt
Filed under: uncultured fungus
Lineage: Eukaryota; Fungi
Description: partial contains 5.8S ribosomal RNA, internal transcribed spacer 2, and large subunit ribosomal RNA
Rfam family: 5.8S ribosomal RNA (bases 1-52)
Source: RNAcentral
AACGCACAUUGCGCCCCGUGGUAUUCCGCGGGGCAUGCCUGUUCGAGCGUCAUUACAACCCUCAAGCUCGGCUUGGUAUUGGGCCCCGCCGGUAACGGCAGGCCUUAAAAUCAGUGGCGGUGCUGUCAGGCCCUAAGCGUAGUAAUCUUUCUCGCUACAGGGUCCUGGUGGUGCUUGCCAUCAACCCCCCACUUUCUAUGGUUGACCUCGGAUCAGGUAGGGAUACCCGCUGAACUUAA